This is a long non-coding RNA of Hordeum vulgare subsp. vulgare (domesticated barley), 930 nucleotides long. RefSeq lists it as uncharacterized. Lineage: Eukaryota; Viridiplantae; Streptophyta; Magnoliopsida; Poales; Poaceae. The transcript has 2 exons. The record is from RefSeq and is a predicted model, not a curated record.
UAUGAUACUACCCGUUACAACCAGCCUAAAGACGUCGGGCUGUAGAUUGAGAGAGUAGUCAAGCGCGACGACUCGGGAGUACGAGCUUGAUGGCGGCUGGGCAUCGUCAGUUUUGGGAGUUGCAGAGGAUGAGGGGGAGACUGCGGCGCGGCAGGGUGCUGGGGGCUCGGCAUCCGACCUCCGGUCCAAGCUGUCGACGGAGGCUGUCGCGCCACGAGCACGCUGAGAUCCUGAGUCGGCUGGACGAUGGCUACCACAACGAUGCACGAGGAGGCGAGCCCAAGGCGGCUGAAUGACAGCCAUCUGUCGUCCUCGACCACGGUUGGUUCCCUCGGAUGGUGGGCGGCGGCGGACCCGUCUUUAUCCUCCACAUCUCCUCACACAGGUGAGCAUGGCGCCUCUUGCUGCUAAUUCCAAAUAGAGCAUGUGCCUGUGACGGAUGUGCUCAUGCCCCGCGGAACGCUCAACUCGCCCGCGACCGCGGACAAGGGAUACGUAUACGGAAAUUGUGAUUUGAAAGGACUGUCAAUCAACAUGAAUCAUGGCAAAGUUUUCUACAUUUUUCGGAGCGGGUCCAUUGAUGAGAGUUGAGAGAUAAUCUCCUGCUGCCAAUUUGAUGCAGUACUGUUUUAAAGACGACGAUGAUGCAUGAUGUCGACAAAUUACAUCAUCAAGUAUUGCUAAUGAUGUUACUGUAUUCUGAACCAGAUAUGCAAACAGUACAUGUAAUCAUGUUACUCAUUUGCUGUGCGCGUCAAUCGGCAAUGUACUUCUUUCAGCAAGUACCUUCAAGGGUCAGCUACUGCCAUGGUAUGCUUUGCUUUUUGAAAUCAUCACAUGGAUUACAUGCAGAACUCAAUUUCCCACGAACUGAUGCUACAAAUGCAGGAAAUCUAUCACCAUGGUUUUAAACUAGAAAUCGCCCUCCUA